RNAcentral lists this long non-coding RNA (282 nucleotides) under Homo sapiens (human). RNAcentral describes it as "non-protein coding lnc-ID2-4:1". The record is from RNAcentral. Lineage: Eukaryota; Metazoa; Chordata; Mammalia; Primates; Hominidae.
UGGUGACAGGCAGCCACCCACAGCCACCGCAGGGACGGGAGGGGAGCAGUUAUGGGCUGGUUACAACUUAUGGUCACAGAAAAUAAAACGGGGAGACGUCCAGCUCUGGGUGGAAAAGCCCCAUCUUUUUAAGCCUGGAAACUAUGCCAUGUCUCCACGUGCGUAUUAAAGAUUUCCCAAUUCGGAAGUCACUGAGCACCAGUCCUUCUAAUAGAGCCUCAGAUAGAUAGUCUGUUUUCUUGAAGAUCAAGUUUGAAACUUCACUCUCUGGAGAAAAGAACA